AUUGAACGCUGGCGGCAUGCUUUACACAUGCAAGUCGAACGGUAACAGGCCUUCGGGUGCUGACGAGUGGCGAACGGGCGAGUAAUGCAUCGGAACGUGCCCAGAGGUGGGGGAUAACGCAGCGAAAGCUGUGCUAAUACCGCAUGUGAUCUGAGGAUGAAAGCGGGGGACCAGGCAGCAAUGUUUGGCCUCGCGCCUUUGGAGCGGCCGAUGUCAGAUUAGGUAGUUGGGGGGGUAAAGGCCUACCAAGCCGACGAGCUGUAGCUGGUCUGAGAGGACGACCGGCCACACGGGAACUGAGACACGGCCCAGAUUCCUACGGGAGGCAGCAGUGGGGAAUUUUGGACAAGGGGCGAAGGCCUGAUCCAGCAAUGCCGCGGGCGGGAGGAAGGCUUUCGGGUUUUAAACCGCUUUUGUACGGAACGAAAAGUCUCUGGCUAAAACCUGGGGCUGAUGACGGUACCGUAAGAAUAAGCACCGGCUAACUACGUG
Molecule: ribosomal RNA, 492 nt
Filed under: uncultured bacterium
Lineage: Bacteria
Description: partial 16S ribosomal RNA
Rfam family: Bacterial small subunit ribosomal RNA
Source: RNAcentral